This 30-nucleotide non-coding RNA is filed under the name Mus musculus (house mouse). Lineage: Eukaryota; Metazoa; Chordata; Mammalia; Rodentia; Muridae. The record is from RNAcentral.
UAGAAAAUAAAACCAACGUUGAGUCUGGAA